This 492-nucleotide ribosomal RNA is filed under the name uncultured bacterium. RNAcentral describes it as "partial 16S ribosomal RNA". It matches the Rfam family "Bacterial small subunit ribosomal RNA", at positions 29 to 507 of the family's 1533-position model. The record is from RNAcentral.
AGUGAACGCUGGCGGUAGGCCUAACACAUGCAAGUCGAACGGCAGCACAGUAAGAGCUUGCUCUUACGGGUGGCGAGUGGCGGACGGGUGAGGAAUACAUCGGAAUCUACUUUUUCGUGGGGGAUAACGUAGGGAAACUGACGCUAAUACCGCAUACGAUCUACGGGUGAAAGCAGGAGAUCUUCGGACCUUGCGCGAUUGAAUGAGCCGAUGUCGGAUUAGCUAGUUGGCGGGGUAAAGGCCCACCAAGGCGACGAUCCGUAGCUGGUCUGAGAGGAUGAUCAGCCACACUGGAACUGAGACACGGUCCAGACUCCUACGGGAGGCAGCAGUGGGGAAUAUUGGACAAUGGGCGCAAGCCUGAUCCAGCCAUACCGCGUGAGUGAAGAAGGCCUUCGGGUUGUAAAGCCCUUUUAUUGGGAAAGAAAAGCAGCAGAUUAAUACCCCGCUGUUCUGACGGUACCCAAAGAAUAAGCACCGGCUAACUUCGUG